GACCUGAUGGUGUAGUGGUAACACACCUGCUGACUUUGAAUAAUCCAAUGGGUAUAGAAGCAGGAGGCCCCGGUUCGAAUCCGGGUCAGGCCA
Mycena leptocephala is the source of this 93-nucleotide non-coding RNA. Lineage: Eukaryota; Fungi; Basidiomycota; Agaricomycetes; Agaricales; Mycenaceae. The record is from the annotation of a GenBank genome assembly.